Molecule: long non-coding RNA, 490 nt
Filed under: Homo sapiens (human)
Lineage: Eukaryota; Metazoa; Chordata; Mammalia; Primates; Hominidae
Description: HSALNT0056004
Source: RNAcentral
GUGAAUUCAGUGUGCAGCAGUUGAGACCAUCGGUCACUAUAUGCUUCUGUCAGCGGGAAAUCUGGGAAGGGCUUCUUCAUGGCCACCACCAGGAUUAAAUGUAAUAAUGAACCCGAAGCUCCUACCUCUACCUCAGAGUAAGAGUGGCAUAAAAUAGGGGUGAUGGUGAUGGUGAUGGUGAUGACAAUGAUGGUGACUCACUCUUCCUAUUUUACUAAAGUUCUUUGACUCUGACUCACGGUUUUUAUCCACACAUGUUCUGCCAUCAUGCUGUGAGGCUGCAAAAUCCUUGUUAAUGAGCUAAUCUGGUGUAUCCGUGUUCUCCUGUACUCAAUUGACCUUCCCUUCCAAACACUUCAGCAAACACCUACUUGGCAAUAACCUACAUUUUAUCAUCACCCAAACAAUCAAGAUGAAUCUUAUGAUCAUCCUAGCUGGAUGAAAUAUUCCCAAUCUGGAUGAAAUCCUCUCCAUCUGGAGAGAUAUUCUA